UGCUAACAAAAUCCCCCAUGUUCAGAGUUGAGGAAACUGUAUCUGUAUUUAGCGGCUCUAUGGAGCUCUCAUGUUAGACCAGGGGUCUCAAACUCCGGUGCUGAUACUGUUCUGGUUUUUAGGCCAUGAAGGUCUCAGUGGAGAGGAUGUUCUCACAUGGACUCUUCUCACUUCUCUCCAACAAUUUAAGAAACUCCAUGGCAUGAAUCUCCUUACAGCCCAGAAGUAAUGACGGAGACAAAGAGAGCGAGGCCGCCAUCGGAGGGUCGGCAGUCCAGGGACCAGUCGCUCGUGUUUUCGGUUGUGAUGUUGUUAAACCUCAGAGGGCCUCACAGUGAGUUCCUUUUACUGGCCAAACAAAGAGAGACAACAGCCUUUAGACCUCAGACCAGCCGGCAGUAAAAGGAGCUCCAGGGGUCAAAGGUCAUUGCAAAAGGGAGGGCGGGGUCUCAGGUUGGAGAGAUUAUAGACCGAGAAAGGGGAACAUUAGUGGUUUCUUCUGUCAUUUGGACAAACGUAACAACGCUGCUUUGAGAAGAAACAGAAGGCCCGUUACAGAGAGAAGACGGUAAAGACACGCUGAGGACCUUCAAGGCUUCACAUUCAAGAGGAGCUUUGAGGGACAGACAGUGGAGAUACAUCAUACUUAGCAAAACACUGAGAGAAAAGACGGCACUAUAAAUUUUACUUUAAAGCUACUUUGUGGAACUUUCGUUAGUGUUGAUUGUGUCGCCCCCUGUGGACUGAAGUGGUAGUGCCUCCUCCCAUCGGCCUCCCUUUAGAAAACCCCUCAUUCCACUGACCGUCUGACCCUCUCAGUUCUGCCCCCCCGCCCCCCUCCGACAUUGUGGUUUUGGUGAAGGACGCAGCGCACCGACCUGCAGCGGAUACCAAACGAAGCCUUUUCUGAAAGGCACCGAAAAGAAGCGGCCGCGCCCGCCCUCCUUGAAUAAAUAAAGCUUUUUGUUCGGAAACCUCAACGGCCCUCGAGAGUCGGGGUGGGAAACGCAAACAUGCCGCCCGCCCCGCUGAACCAGAUACUGCCGAUCGGCGAGGUGCGGCGGCGGCGGGAGGGAAUCCACGGCACCGUGGGGGGGGGUCCGAGCGCGUAUGUGUGCGUUUCUGCAGGUAAAAGGAGGGGACAUUAAGUCUUUCAGUGAGUAUUUAAUACACUUCACUGAGUAGUUUCCUGUGAAGAUGGAAGUUUAUUUUGAAACUGUAUUCAUGUAAAGAGAUACAUUUUUGUUAAAUAUCAUAUAAUCAUUAUUAUUAUAUACUAAUUAUUAGGUUACUGAUUGUGAUGCUUCCAUGGCCUCCUGCAGGAGGAGGAACAUGAAGAAGUCACAACUUUCCCUUUGAGACUUCCUGUAGAGGAUUAAUAGAAUAACAGAAAACGUAAAUAUAAAUAAUAAUAUAAAUAAAUCAUA
This is a long non-coding RNA of Gasterosteus aculeatus aculeatus (three-spined stickleback), 1427 nucleotides long. The record is from Ensembl. Lineage: Eukaryota; Metazoa; Chordata; Actinopteri; Perciformes; Gasterosteidae.